Molecule: ribosomal RNA, 509 nt
Filed under: uncultured bacterium
Lineage: Bacteria
Description: bacterial SSU rRNA
Rfam family: Bacterial small subunit ribosomal RNA
Source: RNAcentral
GAUCCUGGCUUAGGAUGAACGCUAGCGACAGGCUUAACACAUGCAAGUCGAGGGGCAGCAUAAAAGUAGCAAUACUUGGUGGCGACCGGCGCACGGGUGAGUAACGCGUAUGCAACCUACCUAUCAGAGGGGAAUAACCCGGCGAAAGUCGGACUAAUACCGCAUAAAACAGGGGCACCGCAUGGUGAUAUUUGUUAAAGAAAUUCGCUGAUAGAUGGGCAUGCGUUCCAUUAGGUAGUUGGUGAGGUAACGGCUCACCAAGCCGACGAUGGAUAGGGAACUGAGAGGUUGGUCCCCCACACUGGUACUGAGACACGGACCAGACUCCUACGGGAGGCAGCAGUGAGGAAUAUUGGUCAAUGGGCGGGAGCCUGAACCAGCCAAGUCGCGUGAAGGAAGAAGGAUCUAUGGUUCGUAAACUUCUUUUGCAGGGGAAUAAAGUGCAGGACGUGUCCUGUUUUGUAUGUACCCUGAGAAUAAGGAUCGGCUAACUCCGUGCCAGCCGCCGC